GCGAGGACCCCUCGGGGUCUGAC
RNAcentral lists this microRNA (23 nucleotides) under Macaca mulatta (Rhesus monkey). Its description in RNAcentral is "mml-miR-611". Its record names the gene mml-miR-611. Lineage: Eukaryota; Metazoa; Chordata; Mammalia; Primates; Cercopithecidae. RNAcentral also lists the same sequence under 2 other names. The record is from miRBase by way of RNAcentral.